Molecule: long non-coding RNA, 6271 nt
Organism: Columba livia (rock pigeon)
Lineage: Eukaryota; Metazoa; Chordata; Aves; Columbiformes; Columbidae
Exons: 2
Source: RefSeq, a predicted model, not a curated record
UGCACUGAUAAGCACUAUAUUAAUAGUUGACAGAGGAAAUUAAAGAUAUCAGGAAGAGUAUCUGGGGCAGCGUAUGUCUUAAAGUUUGUAUUGUACUUUUGCUGAUACUCAGAAACAACUUACAAAUAACAGAAAUGUUGGGUGUGAGUUAAUAGAUAUUAAUAUGAAAGAUUUUUUAAUCAUUAUCUAUUUCUUUACAGGAGAGAUGGUUAUAAAACUUAGAAGUGUGUAAACAUCAAUCACUCAGCAAAAGUAUCAAGAUGUAAAUAUGCAGCAUUACCAUGCCACGUGAGACAUUUGAAUGAUAAAUUGACUUUAAGAAAUAGCCUGUUUACUAACAGCCUGUAAGCUCUGAGACCUGUACUCUAAGACACAUGAAAAAACGUACACACCUUAGGUAUGUUUCUAAUUAUAUGAACUAGUCCAUCAGCCUAAAAAAAGAAAAAGAAGUCCUUAAUGCAAGAAGCCACAAGAUAAAUAGUAGUUGUGGUUCUUAGUAAUUCUGAAAGGUGAUACUUGAACCAUCCUGCUCUGAAAUUAUAUAAAGUCAUAAAAAAAUCUAGUUUCGGAUCCUGCCUUUAGGAAGGAGUUAGUUUGAUGUAGCACAGAUUGAACAGCUGAAUAUUUCUUUUAACAUGCCAUGUAAUUUAGCUGUUCUCUGUCUCAGAGUUGCAGAAAACACUGGUCACUUUGCAAGCAGCCCUUUACAGACCUCAUCCUGGAAAAAAGGCUCAAAUACCUACUCAUUAUAUGCACUCAACUCUGGUGUGGUCUGUACUAAGGCAUAAUGGGUUUAGCCUUUAGGCUUGGUAAUUUCAUUUCCCUUAAUACCAUAUCGGAUGCUAUACAAUUCAGUCAAGCUAUGCUGAUUUAUACUACCUGACUCCUGGCCAGAGGAGCAUAUUGUAACAUGGCAUCAGUCACAUACCUAUAGAGGGUAUUUUAGUCUGCAGGCACAGUAGUGACACACAGACAUAAACCAGGACAGCUUUAAAUUAGCCAGCAGGAGAGUACUGAUUGAUCCAAGGCCCUAUGGUUAUUGUACCUCUUUCUCCCUUAUCCCUUGAAAGUAUCUCUGAAGUAGGGAGUCAGUAGGAUGUAACACCAGAAAGAUCUCCAACCUGAGCUGCAUUAUACACAUCUUAACAACAUCCUUUCCUCUCUGAGGUGUUCUUAUGACCUCAUGCUCACAUAUAGAUGAUGAUAUUGACCACAGUAAACUAUUUCAGUAAUUCCCUUCUUAAACACAUGACAAAAAAUAGUAGAUCUGUGUAUUUUUACCUCUCAGAAAAAAACCCUUCUGAAUAUGUUGACACGAAAUGGCAAAACGAGUCUUACAACGUCAUUCACUUAACCACUUCGUUCAGCUCACAGCGUUCAGUAAAUUUAUAUUUUCUAAUAGUGCUAAUAUGACAAUAAAAUAUUAUUCAAAUGUAUACCUGUGUUUUGAAAUGGAGAAGAUGUAAGUUUAAAAUCUCUUACCAGUCUCAAUGUCAGUGGCCCUACUGCAGGGUUACACAGGCCUCAUAACACAUGCCACAGCAGGGCAGAAUUCUCAUUAUCAAUCAGUUGAUAAUGUGCACGCAAGAAGGAUACCAUUCCCUUCUGCUUUCAUUUGUUGUUUAUUUUGUUCAUUUAGAUUACAAACCUGCAAGGGUAAGACUGUCCGUCUGUUCAUACGUUAUAGUGGAGUGGGAUUCUUUUUGGGACAAGAGGCCUUGCAGGGGGAUCUAGAUAAACUGGAGCAUUGGGCACUCAUCAGGGUCAUAAAACUUAACAAGGCAUGUUCUUGACUUAGGACAGAGUAACACCAGACACAAGUAUAAAUUGGAGAGGAGUGGCUGGAGAUCAGCCCUGCGGAAAGGGACCUCGGGGUGCUGGUCGACAUUAAGCUCAGCACAAGUCAGCAGUGUGUGCCCUGGUUGCCAAGGGGGCAAACCCCAUCCUGGGGGGCAUCAAACCCAGCAUCAGCAGAUGGCCAAAAGAGGUGAUUGUCCUGCUGUAAUCAGCAUUGGUGAGGCCCAACCUUGAGCGUUGCAUGCAGUUCUGGGUCCCCAGUUUAAGAACGUUGUGAAGGUCCCUGAAUGCCUCCAGAGAAAGGCAGCAAAGCUGGUGAAAGGUCUGGAAAGAGUGUCAUGAGGAGCAGAUAAGGACUUUGGGCUUUACUAGUUCAGAGAAAAGGAGGCUGAGAGGUGACCUCAUUGCUCUCUACAGCUUCCCGAAAAGGGGAUGUGAAGAUGGAGGUGCUGAGCUCUUCUCCCUGGAUCCAGUCACAGGACACAUAGGAAUGGUUCAAUGCUGAGCAAGGGAAGGUUCAGACUGGACAUUAGGAAACAUUUAUUUACCAAGGGGUGGUCCAACACUGGAACAGGCUUCCUAGGGAGAUGGUCGAUGCCCCAAGGCUGUCAGUGUUUAAGAAGCAUUUGCACAAUGCCCUUAGUAACAUGCUGAAACUUUUGGUCAGCCCUGAACUGGUCAGGCAGUUGGACUAGGUGAUUAUUGUAGGUCUCUUCCAGCUGAACUAUUCUAUUCUAUUCUAUUCUAUUCUAUUCUAUUCUAUUCUAUUCUAUUCUAUUCUAUUCUAUUCUAUUCUAUUCUAUUCUAUUCUAAUUCUAUUCUAUUCUAUUCUAUUCUAUUCUAUUCUAUUCUAAUUCGUCUAGUCUAGUCUAGUCUAGUCUAGUCUUUUAAAAUCUUUUAAAAUCUAGUCUGAGCUCACCACCUUUCACUCAUCUUAAGGUUCGUUUUGAAGACAGGUAGAGGGAAUCAACCUCUGGAGACUGCUGUGUCUCUCUAUUGGCUUAUGGGGUUGAGGGAGGGUGUCUACACCUAUGGCUAGGCUUUGAUUAGAUGGCAAACAUUGGUAGAGGAGAAUAUUAUUGUCUGUAACCAGGUUGGCUAAAGCUCCUAUAUUCCUUUGCAAUAAUAAUGGUUAUUAUAAAUUCUAAUUUAAGAUCAUGCUAUCAUAUAUGGCAACUGAACUUCUGUAAGAGUGUUGGGUUUUUUUAAAUCUCUUAUGGAUAUCUUGAGCUUUUCUUAAGAUUUCUAUGUUUUUGUCUCUCUAAUCUGUCCAAAUUUUUUUGUUCUGUGUUUCAUGGUAUGUUUGUGUUCUCAAGGUAAUCCGAAUGAUUUCUCAUAAACAAAACUGCCUUACUUUCUAACCUUUGCCAGCUGUGCACCUCAGUCACAACAGAUGAUCUACCCAAAAAGGCAUCUGAGGAACAUGAAGAAUACUGGCAAUUUCUGUGAGACAGAAGAAUCAUUCCCACCUCUCAUUAAGCUUUGAUCCUGAAAACCAAAUGUGUGGGCUGCACAUGAUAUCCGCCGAUUCGUAACUCAUUACAGGAUCUGAAUGGAAAUAGAGACUGAAAAGGACUGCCUGAGAGCUGGCAGUCAGUAAAAGAACUCGAGUAUUUUCCACAGAAGACAGUUGAAAUAUAUUCUGCUUGAUAAAAUCAGUGAGCGUUCCAUUCAUUUAGACAUUUAAUAAGACAGAAAAUGAGGAACAUGUAAUUUUUUAUUACAGGGUUAGAAGCAAAACAUUGAUAAUUAUCUACUCUGGAAAACUAAUUACAUUUUAAGGAGAAGUAAUUUCAUUAUUUUGGGACCUUCUGUGGCUAUCCUUAUAUAAAAAUAUAAACCAUUACCUAGUAUAUAUGUCAAAUUCUGUAAGACACCAGUUCAGUAAAUGCAGAACUUAGAUUUGUUCAGGUUAAUUAAAUUAAGAUAAUCUAAAAAUGCCCAUGGAAAAGAGCCAGAAGUCUGAAGUCCUUCUCUGAAAAGAUACAAAGACAUUUCUUGCUGCCUUGCUGGAUGCAUUUCCAAAAUCUAUUUAUUGUUACAGCAUAUGAUACAGAAUGUACAUCUUUCAAACUCCAUGAGAGAAAGGAGCAAAUCAGUCACACUUACAUCCUGCACACAGCACCUAGAAAUCAAACCACAUUCCCAAAUGUCUUGGUAUUAAAAACAUGGUGGAAAAGAUAACAUGUGACUCGAGAGUAACCUAACAAUAAAACAAUAGAAUGCCAAUUGGAAGUUUCCAGACAGCUGAAGGUAAGUAAGUAAAUUAGAGAUGAUUGCACUCAGUAGGAACAGAGAUUUCAACAAACCAGGCAUAAUCUGCCACAUCACAAAAUAAAUAUGCAAAAGUUUUGGGCUUGCAGACAAACCUGUCUUUAAAAAAGAUGUCAAAGUGUUGUUAUGGUGCUAAUCUGCAUGCCACAGUGUUUACUGUCACUAACUGAUGAAGAUUCUGCCAUCCUUAUUUACAGCAACCACACAUAUAGAACAGUCCCCCUGAGCUUAUUUUCGUGUCUAACAAAGGCAAAACAGAAAAUUCACGUGAAAAGAAAACAAUAGUUUAUGUUCAGUGACAGAGCCUGAGCAGUAAAAUCUGGUUCAAUGUCAUUUGGCCUGGAAAUUUACUGAAUAAGGAGGAAUUUGCUCAAGAGAUCCUGUUAAAAAUCAGACGAUUCUGAGAAAGGAGUACAUCUUGUUCAGUCAGAGUCAGUCCUAUACAAUGUCCUUUUUCAACACAGAGAUGUGAAAUACAGGACUGCUAAACAGGACAUGAUGAUACUGAAAAAGUGUUUAUGACAAAAAAAUGGUAAUGGACUGUAUUUUAGCAAAUCUUACCUCAGAGAAAAGAAGUGGAACUUAUAUUUGCAGGACAGAAAAAAAAAAAAAAAAGUGAAAUAAAAUAGGAAAAAUAAAAUAGGUUUGUUGAAAAUAAGAGAUAGAAGAAGAGAUACAUAGCUGCUCCCUAUUAGAUUAAUAUCAAGAAUAAAAAUUAUGAUAAGCUACAUAAUACAGACGACACUUCAGAAAGUGUCAAGAUCUAUUGGCAAGCUAAUUAGGAAAUGGAUGAACAAAACAAUUAAUUAAUUAUGUACUUAUUAAAUUAGAAAUCAACAAAAAUGCAAUCAAUUGUUAGGACAACAAACAUCAAUUAAUGAAGGACAAAUCCAAAGAGUUUGGAACUUGCCAGACAGAGUCUUCAGGGUUCCCUGCACCGUGGUGCUUAGGUCUGAGGCACAAAGAACACUUGAACUGUAUCUUCACGGCCAAGUGACUUCCUCUCCCUGAAGCUUGCCUUUUCUGGGGUCUGGUCUUUCUGGAUAUUUGAACCAGAAGAGGAUUUUUAGAGUGGGGCCGUAAUGUGCAAUGGUAGGUGUCUCCUUUCUAAAUAAUAUUAAUGAGACAUAAUCAGCCACUCUUUAAUGAAUAAUAUUAAUGAAUGACUGUGGGGAAAAAAUUACUAAAAUAUGCCAGCUAGCUAAAUAUCAUUAGUGGGAAGAACAAGAUCAAAUUAGAAAUGGAGCAGUCUGUCCUUCAGCCAAAAGAAAAGUAACUACAUGCUGGUUUGUCUUAACGAAAGAGCAACCAGCUGCCAAGGCAAGUGAUUCUUCAACUCCAUUCAACACCAUGGACCAAACCUCGAGGGCUGUGCACAGCUUGGGGCACCUCAGUACAAGAAAGACUUUUAUAUAUUGGAUGAGUGCAGUGAUGGUCACAGGGGUGAUCAGAUGAGAGAAGCGUGUGACAUAGGAGAACAGGCUGAAAAAGCAAGGUCUGUUCAGCCUAGAGAAGAGGAGGGGCAGAUCAGACCAUGUUGUUAUCUGCACCUACUUCAUGGGAGAGUGUAGAAAAAGGUGGUGCACAGUAAGGUGAGAGGCAGUGGAUACAUCCUUCAGUAUGGGAAACUCGAUCAGAUUUUAGGAAAAAAAAAAAACAUCAGUACAAGGGUAGUCCAAAAUCUCCAACCUUGGAGAUAAUCAAAACUCAAUUAGACAAGGCCAUAAACAAUCUGGAACUGCCCUGAGUGGGAAUUUGGACAGGAAGACUUCUGGAGGCCAUUUCCAAUCUAAAUCAUGCUGAAUAUAAGUUUCUGUGCAAGUGAAAACUCGCUUUGUAGCUUCCAACCUAAAGUAUUAAAGAAACUAACCAAAAUAAUAUUUUAAACACUAAUGCAAAUCUCCUGAAAAACAUGGCAGGUAGAACUGAGAGAAGAAAACUCAUAGCAUCUUUCCUUUAAAAGUUGUGUAAUGAGAUGGGAGGAGAACCUGAGCAACCCAAGAAAACAUGUGGAAAGGUAUUGGAAAACAUUUAAAUGCAACUGGUCUGCAAAUAGCUUGAAGAAAAAUGUGCUACAUAAAAUAGACAAACUGGAAUUGCCUAAACAGUAUCAUGUAAAUAAGUCUGUUUUCUUCCUUGGACCAAAAGAACUGCCAUAAAGGGGAAAACUGUAAAUAUAAUAAAUAUAAAACUUUGAUGA